Molecule: long non-coding RNA, 678 nt
Organism: Topomyia yanbarensis
Lineage: Eukaryota; Metazoa; Arthropoda; Insecta; Diptera; Culicidae
Exons: 3
Source: RefSeq, a predicted model, not a curated record
UGGAAAUUUGAUAUUUUUACGAUAAUACGUUGCCGGUUUAUGAUUCAAUCAGCAUUUGGUUAUGGCACCAAAAUAAACACUGAUGUCGACGAUCCGCAGGCUGCUUUCGGUCUAUCCAUCCUUGAACCAAUCAACACCUAUAUUACGCAGGUUGUAGAAAAUAGCCGCGCCUGGCACUGCAUAGGAGCACACCAUAAGCACAGUUAAAUUAGUAGACCAACGGUAUUGAUUUAAGCAAGGGACGGAAUCGUGCGGAGAAUGCUUCUGAGUUGCGAUGGGGGACGAAUAACGACUGGUUGUAAAUGUAUUCAGCACAAUUUUGGGGAUUCGUUGGACAUGAUAUUUUACAAUUAUACACCGACGGUAUACGAUUCGAUCAGCAUGUCAACUCAUGUCAACGACAACGAUUUGCAUUCGUCUUGGUACUAAUCAGCAACAAAAUUACGCACGUUUCACAGAUGACAGAUCAGUACAGCAUCAGCAGUCAACGCCCUGAAAUACAGCCUUGGCAGGCAUAGUUGAGGACCUCCCGCAGUUCAAUUAGAAAUACUCGCUUCCUAUGUCACAUACUGACCAUCGCUGUGCAUCAUUACUCUCAUCAACUUGAUACCUACCAAUAAGGUUGGACAUAGAGAACUGAAUCUCGACUGACGACAUGUUCAAAUGUCUCCAACGGAA